GACGAACGCUGGCGGCGUGCUUAACACAUGCAAGUCGAACGGAAAGGCCCUGCUUUUGUGGGGUGCUCGAGUGGCGAACGGGUGAGUAACACGUGAGUAACCUGCCCUUGACUUUGGGAUAACUUCAGGAAACUGGGGCUAAUACCGGAUAGGAGCUCCUGCUGCAUGGUGGGGGUUGGAAAGUUUCGGCGGUUGGGGAUGGACUCGCGGCUUAUCAGCUUGUUGGUGGGGUAGUGGCUUACCAAGGCUUUGACGGGUAGCCGGCCUGAGAGGGUGACCGGCCACAUUGGGCCUGAGAUACGGCCCAGACUCCUACGGGAGGCAGCAGUGGGGAAUAUUGCACAAUGGGCGGAAGCCUGAUGCAGCAACGCCGCGUGCGGGAUGACGGCCUUCGGGUUGUAAACCGCUUUCGCCUGUGACAAAGCGUGAGUGACGGUAAUGGGUAAAGAAGCACCGGCUAACUACGUG
This 468-nucleotide ribosomal RNA is filed under the name uncultured bacterium. RNAcentral describes it as "partial 16S ribosomal RNA". It matches the Rfam family "Bacterial small subunit ribosomal RNA", at positions 28 to 507 of the family's 1533-position model. The record is from RNAcentral.